UGAACGCUAGCUACAGGCUUAACACAUGCAAGUCGAGGGGCAUCAGGAAGAAAGCUUGCUUUCUUUGCUGGCGACCGGCGCACGGGUGAGUAACACGUAUCCAACCUGCCCUUUACUCGGGGAUAGCCUUUCGAAAGAAAGAUUAAUACCCGAUAGCAUAAUGAUUCCGCAUGGUUUCAUUAUUAAAGGAUUCCGGUAAAGGAUGGGGAUGCGUUCCAUUAGGUUGUUGGUGAGGUAACGGCUCACCAAGCCUUCGAUGGAUAGGGGUUCUGAGAGGAAGGUCCCCCACAUUGGAACUGAGACACGGUCCAAACUCCUACGGGAGGCAGCAGUGAGGAAUAUUGGUCAAUGGGCGCUAGCCUGAACCAGCCAAGUAGCGUGAAGGAUGAAGGCUCUAUGGGUCGUAAACUUCUUUUAUAUAAGAAUAAAGUGCAGUAUGUAUACUGUUUUGUAUGUAUUAUAUGAAUAAGGAUCGGCUAACUCCGUGCCAGCAGCCGCGGUAAUACGGAGGAUCCGAGCGUUAUCCGGAUUUAUUGGGUUUAAAGGGAGCGUAGGUGGACUGGUAAGUCAGUUGUGAAAGUUUGCGGCUCAACCGUAAAAUUGCAGUUGAUACUGUCAGUCUUGAGUACAGUAGAGGUGGGCGGAAUUCGUGGUGUAGCGGUGAAAUGCUUAGAUAUCACGAAGAACUCCGAUUGCGAAGGCAGCUCACUGGACUGCAACUGACACUGAUGCUCGAAAGUGUGGGUAUCAAACAGGAUUAGAUACCCUGGUAGUCCACACAGUAAACGAUGAAUACUCGCUGUUUGCGAUAUACAGUAAGCGGCCAAGCGAAAGCAUUAAGUAUUCCACCUGGGGAGUACGCCGGCAACGGUGAAACUCAAAGGAAUUGACAGGGGCCCGCACAAGCGGAGGAACAUGUGGUUUAAUUCGAUGAUACGCGAGGAACCUUACCCGGGCUUAAAUUGCAGUGGAAUGAUGUGGAAACAUGUCAGUGAGCAAUCACCGCUGUGAAGGUGCUGCAUGGUUGUCGUCAGCUCGUGCCGUGAGGUGUCGGCUUAAGUGCCAUAACGAGCGCAACCCUUAUCUUUAGUUACUAACAGGUCAUGCUGAGGACUCUAGAGAGACUGCCGUCGUAAGAUGUGAGGAAGGUGGGGAUGACGUCAAAUCAGCACGGCCCUUACGUCCGGGGCUACACACGUGUUACAAUGGGGGGUACAGAAGGCAGCUAGCGGGUGACCGUAUGCUAAUCCCAAAAGCCUCUCUCAGUUCGGAUCGAAGUCUGCAACCCGACUUCGUGAAGCUGGAUUCGCUAGUAAUCGCGCAUCAGCCACGGCGCGGUGAAUACGUUCCCGGGCCUUGUACACACCGCCCGUCAAGCCAUGGGAGCCGGGGGUACCUGAAGUACGUAACCGCAAGGAUCGUCCUAGGGUAAAACUGGUGACUGGGGCU
This 1449-nucleotide ribosomal RNA is filed under the name uncultured organism. Its description in RNAcentral is "SSU rRNA". It matches the Rfam family "Bacterial small subunit ribosomal RNA". The record is from RNAcentral.